UGAGUGUCUAGCUUAAUGGUAAAGCAGUAAACUUUUAAUUUAAUUAGUUUAGGUUCAAAUCCUAAGACACUUAA
Molecule: transfer RNA, 74 nt
Filed under: Gredgaria maugeana
Lineage: Eukaryota; Rhodophyta; Florideophyceae; Ceramiales; Rhodomelaceae
Description: tRNA-Lys
Rfam family: tRNA
About the family: Transfer RNA (tRNA) molecules are approximately 80 nucleotides in length.
Source: RNAcentral